Molecule: ribosomal RNA, 245 nt
Filed under: uncultured bacterium
Lineage: Bacteria
Description: partial 16S ribosomal RNA
Rfam family: Bacterial small subunit ribosomal RNA
Source: RNAcentral
UACGGAGGGUGCAAGCGUUGUCCGGAAUCAUUGGGCGUAAAGGGCGUGUAGGCGGCCCAGCAAGUCUGGUGUGAAAGCCCCCGGCUCAACCGGGGAAGUGCAUGAGAUACUGCUGGGCUUGAGUGCGGGAGAGGAAGGUGGAAUUCCCAGUGUAGCGGUGAAAUGCGUAGAUAUUGGGAGGAACACCGGUUGCGAAGGCGGCCUUCUGGACCGUCACUGACGCUGAAACGCGAAAGCGUGGGGAG